RNAcentral lists this long non-coding RNA (440 nucleotides) under Homo sapiens (human). Its description in RNAcentral is "HSALNT0208174". Lineage: Eukaryota; Metazoa; Chordata; Mammalia; Primates; Hominidae. The record is from RNAcentral.
CAUCGCCAGAAACGCACACAGAUGGUUUGGCCUUCACGUACCGUUAUGGGCUGCUGUAAGAAGAAAGACAGGAAGGUUCAGGGUGAAGCUAUGAAUUAUACAUGGCAAUGUAUUAAGGCUCGGACCUCAUUGUACAGCUUGGAGGAAGAGAUGGGAGCCAGAAAGGAAGUGUACUCCCCGGGGAUGCUCACACCAUCAUCUGCACAGCAGGAGAGUCAAAUUAGUUCCAGAGGGAGGGAAAUGGUAUGUCUGUACUAACUGAAGGAUCAGAAGGAUCAAACCUCCCAUGUCAAAACCAACCAACGUUGGCAUGGGCAUGGAAGAAAGAGACAAAUGCAUGUUGUCACAUUACUAAGCCAGCCUGCUUCCAACUACUGUCAUGGAGGAUUCCACUACUAGGUUAAUUUACAGAGUCACACAGAUUAAAACUGAAAGAACCC